This 523-nucleotide ribosomal RNA is filed under the name uncultured Gallionellaceae bacterium. RNAcentral describes it as "bacterial SSU rRNA". It matches the Rfam family "Bacterial small subunit ribosomal RNA", at positions 8 to 526 of the family's 1533-position model. The record is from RNAcentral. Lineage: Bacteria; Pseudomonadati; Pseudomonadota; Betaproteobacteria; Nitrosomonadales; Gallionellaceae.
AGAGUUUGAUCCUGGCUCAGAUUGAACGCUGGCGGUAUGCUUUACACAUGCAAGUCGAACGGAUUAAGAAGCUUGCUUCUUAGUUAGUGGCGAACGGGUGAGUAAUAUAUCGGAACAUAUCCGGAAGUGGGGGAUAACGUAGCGAAAGUUACGCUAAUACCGCAUAUGCCCUGAGGGGGAAAGGGGGGGAUUCGUAAGAACCUCUCGCUUUCGGAGUGGCCGAUAUCGGAUUAGCUAGUAGGUGAGGUAAAGGCUCACCUAGGCGACGAUCCGUAGCUGGUCUGAGAGGACGACCAGCCACACUGGAACUGAGACACGGUCCAGACUCCUACGGGAGGCAGCAGUGGGGAAUUUUGGACAAUGGGCGAAAGCCUGAUCCAGCCAUACCGCGUGAGUGAAGAAGGCCUUCGGGUUGUAAAGCUCUUUCAGCCGGAACGAAACGGUAUGUCUUAAUACGAUGUGCUAAUGACGGUACCGGCAGAAGAAGCACCGGCUAACUACGUGCCAGCAGCCGCGGUAAUAC